UGCAGGCCUCACAUCUGGGAUCAAGGGGCAAAUGCAGGGUGGGUAAAGAGCAGGGGGCAGCCUGGAACACCCGAGGCUGUGUGAGGCCACACUCAGUGGGGUCCACUCUGUGCUGGAGACCAUUUUCUGCCCCCCUCCCCAUUUCGUCCUGGACCAAUCCUUGUAUAAAGGACAAUAUAAGUGAAUUACUGGGAAAAUAAUAAUAAUAAAGGCAUCUUUAUUAUUUGAUUCAAUGAACAUAAGAUUACUCUGUCAACUUGCUAUGCAGUUUCUGAACAUCACUUUCAACAUCUAUAUGUAUGUUACUGCAGACUGCAAAGCAUAUGAGGACCGCAACAGUCCGUGCUGUGAAUAACUCCGUCCUAUGGCAUUUUCUGUUCUUAAUGAAAACUCUUCAGAGCCCUGUCUCCUCAGAUGAUUUGUCCUGCAUUUCAGACUCACUAAGGGGAACUGGGGAAAGGCCACGGGACUCUGGUUGGAAUCCAUGAAAUCUGCCUUUCCUAUGAUAGCGUGCAUGUAAAAUUGUAAGGACAAUAGAAUCAUUCCAAACGACGUAUGCAACCACUCAGGCAGUAAAGCGUUGCUUCCCACCUCUUAAGGGUGGACUGUGCUUAGAGGUGUUCUUCCAAAGGGUACAGUAUGGAAGCAGGGGAACAGGAAAGAAACUUGGCCACAGAGAAGCCUGGUAAACACUUCCUUAGCCAGGUCGUCACAGUUAACCUCUUCAGUGGUUCAGUUCAGUUGAGAACACGUACCUUUGAUACGUUGUGUCGAGAAGGGCAAUUCACCUCUGUGGUACUCCUCCCCAAAGCUCAUAACCUCAGUCGCUAGGUGGUGUCCAGUGCUUUGUGACCCCAUGAACUGCAGCACGCCAGGCUUCCCUGUCCUUCACUAUCAUCCUGAGUUUGCCCAAAUUCAUGUCCAUUGGAGUCGGUGAUGCCAUCCAACCAUCUCAUCCUCUGUCACCCCCUUCUUUUUGUGUGUGUGUGUCACCCCUUCUUUUGCUUUCAAUCUUUCCCAGCAUCAGGGUCUUUUCCAAUGAGUCAGUCUUUGCAUCAGGUGGCCAAAUAUUAGAGCUUUAGCUUUACCAUCAUUCCUUCCAAUGAAUAUUCAGGGUUGAUUUCCUUUAGGAUUGACUGGUUUGAUCUUGCUGUCCAAGGGACUCUCAAGAGACUUCUCUAGCACCACAAUUUGAAAGCAUCAAUUCUUCAGCACUCAGCCUUCUUUAUGGUCAAGCUUUCAUGGUCCAAUCCCAGUCUAACCAUGAGAAAAACAUCAGACAAACUCAAAUUGAGACACAGUCUACAGAAUAUUGAUCCUCAAUCAUCCUCAAGAUGGGGGUCAAUUAGAAGCAGGGAAGCUCUGAGAAACUGUCACAACCCCAAGAAGCCAAAGCAGACAAGAUGACUCAAUGUGUAUCACAGUGGAUUGAAUUUUGUCUCCCCCCAAAAGCUAUGUUCAAAUGCCAGCCCUCACUACCUGUGAAUCUGACCUUCGUUGGAAGUAGGAUUUUACAGAUGUAAUUAGGUUAAGGACCUCAAGAUGAGAUUAUCCUGGAUUUACAGUGAGCCCUAAAUUCAAUGACUGGGUGUCUUUAUAAGAGAAAGGACAGGGGAGUUUGAAGCACACAGGCCCAGAGAUGUACAAAGAAGGUAGUAGAAAGAUGGCCACAGAGAUCAGCAUCGAGCUCCAAGAUAUAGCCCACCCCAAGCCAAGGAGCACCUGGGGCCCCUGGAAGCUGGAAGAGGCAGGAAGGGUUCUCCCCUAGAGGCUUCGGGGGAGGGUACCCUGCACACUUAGGACUGCUAGCCUCUGGAACUCCAGAGACUACAUUUCUGUUGUUUUCAGCCACUAAAUUUGUGGUGAUUUGUUCCAGAAACCCUAAGAAACUGAUCCAGUAUCUUGCAUGGGAUACUGGGAUGGAAAAAUUCUAUUAGGGAAAAACUCAUGAAAUCCAAAUAAAGUGUGGAGUAUAAGUUAAAAACAUAUUAAUAUUUAUCUAUCAGUUGUGAUAAUAGAUCAUAGUAACUGGGAGAGGAAACUGGGCGGGGGGAUCUAUAGGAUUCAUGGGAACUCUAUACAGCCUUUCUGUAAAUCUAAAACUAUUUUAAAAUUAAAAAAUUUUUAAACUGCAUGGGAUGGGCUUCCCUGGUGGCUCAGUGGUAAAGAAUCCACCUACCAGUGCAAGGAACACGAGUUCGAUCCCUGGUCUGGGAAGACCCCACAUGCCACAGAGCAACUAAGCCCAUGUGCCACAAAUACCAAGCCAGAACUCUAGAGCCUGGAAGUCGCAGCUACUGAAGCCCCCUCAUCCUAGACCCCGUGCUCUGCAAUAAGAGCAGCCCCCACAAUGAGAAACCCUCACAACUAGAGAGUAGCCCCCUCUUGCUGCAGCUAGAGAAAAGGCCACGGAGCAAUGAAUACCCAGCACAGCCAAAUAAAUAAUUGCAUGGGAAAAACCCUGCUUGGACACAGAGUUUUUGUAACUUGUAAUUCAGCCCAGGGGUAGCUCUGUCCUAGACAAUACUUGUUCCAGCCGGCAGAGCAUCAAGGUCUGUGAGUCAAUCAAUGAGCCCCAUUUACUCUUUUUCCAUUGAUUCAUUCUGCUCUCACUUCAUGGUCCUGCUCUCACCUCUGUUGACCCCUCACUUUAAUUCAAGCGCGUGCUUUCGGCUGAAUAUGAAUUAGUCCUGGCCUCUUUACAACCACAUGGAGAACAUCAUCUGCUUGAAAUUACUAAUGACUCAGAAUUGGUGAGCCCUGAGUUUGGACAGGACUGUUUGUAUCAUUUUGAGGCUGUCUGCCCCUCCCAACUUUUCUGAGAAUUUUUAUACCCACAGCGUGGAUGGUCUCUGUCAUCAGAGAGAUUUUACGUUUGAAUCAUGAGACUCCACCCCUAUGAACAUUGUAGAUUGAAUCAGGACUGAACACCUGACUCAAGAGAAGCAAGCCUACGGUCAUGUCAGUGGUCUCUCAGAUUUUCAGGAAAGAUCAAACUAAAGAAAAAAAAAAAAAAACGAAAAAGAAAGAAACACAGCUCAGAGCUGAGUCAUCACAGUGGACCUGGCUUGGAGCUGAUUUCAUCUCCACCCUUCCUGCAGCCUCGUUGCUCAAUUUUUCCUUGGAUUCAAUGAGAGCUGAAUUCUUUCCCAAAUCCCCUAUAACCUGAGCUAAUCAAGAAGGUUCCGUUUACUUUUCAAUCAAGAGGAUGCCGCCUCGGAGUACCACAUUGUUCAGCUCCUCAUUCCGCUUGAAAUCAAGUGUUCAUCGUCAUCUUCUUGCAUACCAUCCAAACAAGAAUCUCACUACUUCUCCAGGCAACUCGUCUCAUAUUGGACAACUCCACUUCUUUGAAGCCUGGGGCUGGUGGAGUCCACUGGAGCCUGAAAAAUGACCACUCCAUCUGAUAAAGUCCAAGUCUGAAAUGUGCCACUCAUUGGCCACCAAGGCCUAAAAGAAGAAAGUCAGAGUCUUGAAACUCAUGGGAGAGGAAGUGGAGAGAGAGCCACGGGGCCAAACUGCAAAGGUUUCCAAUUCAGCUUUUUGACAGGAGACCACCAGAGAGAAAGGAAUGAAGAAGGGUCAUGGCAGGGUUGUACCAACUCUAUGCCUUAGGCUCGGGAAAGCAGGCAGAGCGAAAGAGGCCAGUCAGCUGUGCGGAGCCGGUGAACCUACAGUGACCCGGCUCACUAGUGAACGUGGCCUGGUCCAUAAAGCAGACUCAAGCCUAUGGGGCCUGUGUUUUUCCUCUUGGAGAGCAGCAGGAUGGAGCUGGAAGAGCAUUCCUCCCCGCAGCUCCCCUCCUGCCCACCAAGUGUCUCACAUCGUGUAUAGAGCUUAAAGGCCUUCCCAGAUGGUGCUAGUGGUAAAGAACCCACCUGCCAAUGCAGGAGACAGAAGAGACAUGGGUUCAAUCUCUGAUUCGGGAAGAUCCGCUGGAGGAGGGCAUGACAACCCGCUCCGAUAUUCUUGCCUGGAGAAUCCCAUAGACAGAGAAGCCCAGUGGGCUACAGCCCAUGGGGUCACAAAGAAUCAGACAUGACUGAAGCAACUUAACACACAUAGAGUUUAAAAGAACAAGGAAGGGACUUCUCUGGUGGUCCAGUGGUUAAGAAGUUCACCUUCUACUACAGGAGGUGCUAGUUCCAUCCCUGUUCAGGGAACUAAGAUCUUACAGGCUGCCCAGUGCAGCCAAAAAAAAAUUUUUUUUUUAAUAAAAAUGAAAGAAAAAGGAAAAGGUAACCUCACGAGGACUGUUUGGAACAGAGUUCAAAUUCUCCUAUAAGUUUAUGUGCUAUUUGACUUCUCUCCAAACAGUCACUUUCCAUAUCUUUUCAAGAUGGGGCUCAUUUUUCUUUUCCUCUUUUUUUUUUUUUUCUUUUCAGCUUGCAGGAUCUUCCUUCCCCAACCAGGGAUCAGACCUGGCCUGGCAGUGAUAGCACCAAGUCCUAACCACCGGUUCACCAAGGAAUUCCCAAGAUGGGACUCAUUUUUCACAUAGGUGAAGUAAGAUAAGCAAUUGGAGAAGGAGAUGGCAACCCACUCCAAUAUUCUUGCCUGGGAAAUCCCAUGGACAGAGGAGCCUCGUGGGUUACAGUCCAUGGAGCUACAGAGGGUUGUACAUGACUGAGCGAUGGAGCAGACACAAGAUAGGCAAUAAACAGAGCUUAUGUGUCUGAUUCUUUGUGACCCCAUGGACUGUAGCCCGCCCAGCUCCUCUGUCCAUGGGAUUUCCCAGGCAAGAAUACUGGAGUGGGUAGCUAUCCCUUUCCAGGGGAUCUUCCCCAUCCAGCGAUGGAGUCUUGGUCACCUGCUUUGCAGGUGGAUUCUUUACCAUCUGAGCUGCCAGGGAAGGCUUUUGAAGCCACUACUAACAGCCCAUCUACUACAUGUGGGCUGUUUCUGCUAUUCAAUGCCAGGUGUCAAAGGACAAAUUUUGCUUUCCCAAGCAAAAUUUUUGCUUUCCUUUCCAAGAAAAAAAAGAUAAAUUAUUUAGGGAUGAGAUGGGACACUUGCCUUGUGAACUAAAGAUUGCUUUUAUCUCCUGAAACUUGGUUUCUCAGUAAGACUGUUUUCUACUUUUAGAGGCAUUGCUUGUUUAUAUUCUAACCAAUCUAUUUUUUUCAAAGUCAAUGCCUCCAU
This is a long non-coding RNA of Bos taurus (domestic cattle), 5142 nucleotides long. Lineage: Eukaryota; Metazoa; Chordata; Mammalia; Artiodactyla; Bovidae. The record is from Ensembl.